CAGCAGUGAGGAAUUGAGCGCAAUGGGGGAAACCAAGAAGCCGUGCCGCCGCGUACAGGAUGAAGUCCUUCGGGUCGUAAACUGCCAGGAAGAGUGAAGAAUUUGACGGUAACUCAGGAAAAAGCCCCGGCUAACUACGUG
RNAcentral lists this ribosomal RNA (141 nucleotides) under uncultured bacterium. Its description in RNAcentral is "partial 16S ribosomal RNA". It matches the Rfam family "Bacterial small subunit ribosomal RNA", at positions 349 to 507 of the family's 1533-position model. The record is from RNAcentral.